AUGCAUGUCUAAGUAUAAGCAAUUAUACCGCGAAACUGCGAAUGGCUCAUUAAAUCAGUUAUCGUUUAUUUGAUAGUACCUUACUACUUGGAUAACCGUGGUAAUUCUAGAGCUAAUACAUGCUAAAAAUCCCGACUUCGGAAGGGAUGUAUUUAUUAGAUUAAAAACCAAUGCCCUUCGGGGCUCUCUGGUGAUUCAUAAUAACUUCUCGAAUCGCACGGCCUUGCGCCGGCGAUGGUUCAUUCAAAUUUCUGCCCUAUCAACUUUCGACGGCUGGGUCUUGGCCAGCCAUGGUGACAACGGGUAACGGAGGGUUAGGGCUCGACCCCGGAGAAGGAGCCUGAGAAACGGCUACUACAUCCAAGGAAGGCAGCAGGCGCGCAAAUUACCCAAUCCCGACUCGGGGAGGUAGUGACAAUAAAUACUGAUACAGGGCUCUUUUGGGUCUUGUAAUUGGAAUGAGUACAAUUUAAAUCCCUUAACGAGGAACAAUUGGAGGGCAAGUCUGGUGCCAGCAGCCGCGGUAAUUCCAGCUCCAAUAGCGUAUAUUAAAGUUGUUGCAGUUAAAAAGCUCGUAGUUGAACCUUGGGCCUGGCUGGCCGGUCCGCCUCACCGCGUGCACUGGUCCGGCCGGGCCUUUCCCUCUGGGGAACCGCAUGCCCUUCACUGGGUGUGUCGGGGAACCAGGACUUUUACUUUGAACAAAUUAGAUCGCUUAAAGAAGGCCUAUGCUCGAAUACAUUAGCAUGGAAUAAUAGAAUAGGACGUGUGGUUCUAUUUUGUUGGUUUCUAGGACCGCCGUAAUGAUUAAUAGGGACAGUCGGGGGCAUCAGUAUUCAAUUGUCAGAGGUGAAAUUCUUGGAUUUAUUGAAGACUAACUACUGCGAAAGCAUUUGCCAAGGAUGUUUUCAUUAAUCAGGAACGAAAGUUAGGGGAUCGAAGACGAUCAGAUACCGUCGUAGUCUUAACCAUAAACUAUGCCGACUAGGGAUCGGACGAUGUUAUAUUUUGACUCGUUCGGCACCUUACACGAAAGUAAAGUUUCUGGGUUCUGGGGGGAGUAUGGUCGCAAGGCUGAAACYUAAAGAAAUUGACNGAAGGGCACCACCACGGGUGGAGCCCUG
Molecule: ribosomal RNA, 1124 nt
Filed under: Ophiostomatales sp. C6
Lineage: Eukaryota; Fungi; Ascomycota; Sordariomycetes; Ophiostomatales
Description: SSU rRNA
Rfam family: Eukaryotic small subunit ribosomal RNA
Source: RNAcentral